Long non-coding RNA from Acanthopagrus latus (yellowfin seabream), 1898 nucleotides. RefSeq lists it as uncharacterized. NCBI's taxonomy places the organism in Eukaryota, Metazoa, Chordata, Actinopteri, Spariformes, Sparidae. The record is from RefSeq and is a predicted model, not a curated record. The transcript has 3 exons.
UCCAGUGUGGAUUCAGACAACAGAGGAGUUCAGGACUGUUCAGCUUGGGUCAAACCAUGAAGGAGCCACUGAUUUUCAACCUAAUAUCUCCUCCAAUAAGAAAAUACAUUUGAGAGGAGGAAAAGAGUUGUCUCAUUGAAUCUGUUAUGGUUGGCCAGGCCAUUUUUCAAGUUUGGGCAGAAGUUGAGCAGAGUUCACCACAACAUAACUUGUCACAUAUGUAAGGUACAAAUGCUGUGGGCUGAUGCUGCGUUCUUCAGAUGGCAUUUACCACCUAACAGUAAAGUCACUGAACAACCAGCUGACUCACAACAUUGUUUUAUUUAACAUGUUCAGAGAUGCAGUGGAAGCUGGGCAUGUCUUUCCAGGAGGGCUGAAGUUUCUGUCUCGCACACCUGCCACAAGUCUCAUCAGCUCCAGCUCUGGGCUACUCUGCAUUUGAUGCUAGAGUGUUCUAUUAUGUGCUCCAUCCUCACAAGCCAUCAGGCUCCAGCCUGCAGAUUCAUCUCUGUCCUCACUGACAACUCUCUGAGCCUGCCACCCAAGCUCCAUUCUGUACUUCAGCAGAGAAGGCCGCAGCUCUGCUAACAAGCCAGCAACCCAUCUGUGCAGCACUCACCUGAGCUCAACCUCAAGUAACCCCCCUGCUCACCAUCUUCCCUGCACUCUAUCAGCUAUUCAACAACACUAUUACCUGACCUGUUGUCUGGUUGUCUGCUUUUGGGUGCUGCUAAACAUUUACCAGCAUAGAGAUGGUAGUUACCACUUCACAGUAAAGCCACUGAAUGGUUAGCUGAUUCACAAUAUAUUAUUAAUAUAUUAUUUCAAAGUAAUCAUUUGUGUCACCUUUUGAGUCAACAUAUGUAACACAUUCAAACCAGUGUUGUUACUGUUUGCAUGUCCUCUCUGUGGAGCGCCUUUUACUUUGACAAUGGUGGUUAAAUCGCAGUUAAUGAUAUAUGAGUGCUCUAUGUUAGAAUUGGCCAUCUGUUCAGAUUAAAAACUGUAGCUCCAGUUAGCUUCAUUUAGCAUUGCAACUAGUGGUCGAUACUGGGAGCUCAGAGCACAAGAGGAGUGUUUGUGUUGACUGUGCUUGCACAGGAGCCGUGCACGAGGAUGUGCCAGUGCAACUCAAUACACAGGUGUCCUAAUAUGAAAACUGUUUUGUCUUCAUAUUCUGUCAAUAAUUCUUGUUCAUUUUUGUUUUUAGUUUUCAACUAAAAUUCUUACAUAUUGCAUCUAUUAUAAGUGAUGUUAUAGCUGCCGCCAUUUUGUACUGUCUGGCUCUCAGUUCAAGGCUCAACACUGUUAGGGCUGCUUGCUGCUGGUCAACAUUGCAAAUCGACAAAAAUUACCAAAGUUAAGCCUGAUGUGAAAAUUGAAAGCACAUUUACUUGAUUAAUUGGAAUUCUCUGAUUUUUGGGCCAACUGAGAUGAUGAGCAUGAAUCUGACUCUUACUGAUAACACCUAUCACAGUGACAGGGCCGAAUACCGGCACUGAUUCAUGAAUCCUGAUGAACUGCUGCUGGUCAAUUUAAGACAGGAUUAGAUUAAAGUUUGGUUAUUGUAGCAGCUCAAUAAUAACAAUGAUAAUGUACCUUUUAUGAGCUCAUUACUUUCUCAUCUUUCAUCUUCCAUUCUCCAUCUUUCCCUGCAUUGUAUUUCUUUCCUGAUUACUAAAGAAUUAAAAUUGAUCAUUGAAACAUGAAAAUGUUAAAUAGCAAAAGUAAAUAAAUAAAUACAUUUUAUAAAGUACAUGCCAAAUUGGGGGACAGAUCUUGUGAACGGCAGUUGACUGUUCAAAGCUGAUCCAGGCACUCAGGGGCAGCUUGCCAGCCCAUUGCCAACAUCUGCUGCAUAUCUAGCAGGCUAAAUAUCUGGCAGAGUAACAGUCAGG